CUUGGUUAUCAACCUAAUGAGAGGACAAACAGGUACUUAUAGAUUUUGUCCGUUCUGAAGGAGAUGGCAAGCUCCUUAUGGAGCACGGAGAUUAGGGCAAUGAAACAGUUGCCUGCGAAGCUCCACUAGAUGAAGCUGGUAGUGCCAUUGGAUGUUGUUCGCAAGAGGGAUGAAGGCGACAGCCGACAGCUCAAGUUACAGAGGUAGAAUUUGAGAACCAUGUGCUUAAGUUAC
This 234-nucleotide long non-coding RNA is filed under the name Elaeis guineensis (African oil palm). Its description in RNAcentral is "long non-coding RNA (EGUI_LNC012763)". The record is from RNAcentral. Lineage: Eukaryota; Viridiplantae; Streptophyta; Magnoliopsida; Arecales; Arecaceae.